This 781-nucleotide long non-coding RNA is filed under the name Bos taurus (domestic cattle). Its description in RNAcentral is "long non-coding RNA NONBTAT023284". Lineage: Eukaryota; Metazoa; Chordata; Mammalia; Artiodactyla; Bovidae. The record is from RNAcentral.
GAGAAACUGUAAAUUCAAGUUUGAUAGUACCUGUUUAAGUGUUGUACUUCCAUUGCAGAGAGCAUCUAAUAUCCCAGUUUAGAUCUGUUUCUUUAUACUUUUUCUAGUUGCUUGCUUAACGUUACGUUAGGUCAUUAUAACUCUCCCACGAGCUUUUCCUUAUCUUAUUAUAAUAGAUUCUUACUUAAGUCUCUCUGGUAGGAAUUAUGAAUGUGUCCUCAUUAUACCCAUCAACUAGAUAAGCAAGAAUCUUUUAACAUAGUAGAUAGCCUGGUGGUUUUAGAAGUCUUUGGUGAUUUUUAUUGGCGGGAGUUUUCCUAAGUAUUGGUUUAGGGACAUCUCCUCAGAUACUAGCACAGCAUUUCUUGGGUGGUAAUCACGGGUUUGAUGCCUAUCUCCCUCAGAGAAUAGCGUUUUCCUCACUAACACAGGUGGGACUCUGAGGAGGUUUUCUUCUCAUAGAAGAUGCAUGUGUGGAGAGAAUCUGAGGCAUGCAUUCUGCGUAAAUGGUUCUAUCUGCUAAACAGAAAGGUGGACCGUUCUUUGCAAUUCACUGGAUUACAGUUUAGCAUGUCCUAAUUACAAGAGGUAAGAGUAUUUGUCAAGCCUUUGUUAUAUUGGCUUUUUCAUAAUAGAAACUUCUCUUUUAAAAUGAAUUAUUAUAAUUGAAGUGUUACUUUAAAAUUGGAUGAUUUACAGAAACAAAUGAGAAACCAUAGUCCUUUAAGGAUUUAUUUGAGGAUACUGUUUUUUAAAAGUUUGAAUUUUUGUGUAGAGGUAG